UAUUUGGUUGGUGCAAAAGUAAUUGCGGUUUUUGCCAUUGAAAGUAAUGGCAAAAACCGCAAUUACUUUAGCACCAACCUAAUG
RNAcentral lists this microRNA precursor (84 nucleotides) under Pan troglodytes (chimpanzee). RNAcentral's name for it is "mir-548 microRNA precursor family". It matches the Rfam family "mir-548 microRNA precursor family". Lineage: Eukaryota; Metazoa; Chordata; Mammalia; Primates; Hominidae. The record is from Rfam by way of RNAcentral.